This 166-nucleotide non-coding RNA is filed under the name Paramoeba aestuarina. The record is from RNAcentral. Lineage: Eukaryota; Discosea; Flabellinia; Dactylopodida; Paramoebidae.
CAUUUUUGGUCCUGCUCCCUCUUCUUUCCUCCCCCCCCAUCUCUCUUCUUCCUCUUCUCCCUCCACCUCUUCUUCCACCCCCUCCUCCUCCUCCUCUUCCUCUUGCCGCAAAUCUCUCUCCAACUCCUCCCCCUCCUCUCCUCCCGUCCCUACCUCUUCCCCAGCC